UGAGGAAUAUUGCACAAUGGGGGGAACCCUGAUGCAGCAACGCCGCGUGGAGGAUGAAGGUUUUUGGAUUGUAAACUCCUUUUCUGUGGGAAGAGAAAGGACGGUACCACAGGAAUAAGUCACGGCUAACUACGUGCCAGCAGCCGCGGUAACACGUAGGUGGCAAGCGUUAUCCGGAAUUACUGGGCGUAAAGGGCACGCAGGCGGCGAGGCAAGUCUGAUGUGAAAGCUCCUGGCUUAACUGGGAGAGGUCAUUGGAAACUGCUUGGCUUGAGGAAAUGAGAGGAGUGCGGAAUUCCGGGUGUAGUGGUGGAAUGCUUAGAUAUCCGGGGGAACACCAGUGGCGAAGGCGGCACUCUGGCAUUAUCCUGACGCUGAUGUGCGAAAGCGUGGGGAGCGAACGGGAUUAGAUACCCCCGUAGUCC
This 425-nucleotide ribosomal RNA is filed under the name uncultured prokaryote. RNAcentral describes it as "bacterial SSU rRNA". It matches the Rfam family "Bacterial small subunit ribosomal RNA", at positions 355 to 796 of the family's 1533-position model. The record is from RNAcentral.